RNAcentral lists this ribosomal RNA (254 nucleotides) under uncultured bacterium. Its description in RNAcentral is "partial small subunit ribosomal RNA". It matches the Rfam family "Bacterial small subunit ribosomal RNA", at positions 26 to 286 of the family's 1533-position model. The record is from RNAcentral.
AGGACGAACGCUGGCGGCGUGCUUAACACAUGCAAGUCGAGCGGAAAGGCCCUUCGGGGUACUCGAGCGGCGAACGGGUGAGUAACACGUGAGCAACCUGCCCUUAGCUCUGGGAUAGCUACCGGGAAACCGGAAUUAAUACCGGAUACGACCUAGGCCGACAUCGGCCAUGGUGGAAAGUUUUUCGGCUAGGGAUGGACUCGCGGCCUAUCAGCUAGUUGGUGGGUAAAGGCCUACAAGGCGACGACGGGUAG